UACAGAGGGUGCGAGCGUUGUCCGGAAUCACUGGGCGUAAAGGGCGCGUAGGUGGCGACCCAAGUCGAUGGUGAAAGCUCGCCGCUCAACGGCGAGUCGGCCACCGACACUGGGUUGCUGGAGCACUGUAGAGGCUCAUGGGAAUUCCGGGUGUAGCGGUGGAAUGCGUAGAGAAUCCGGAAGAACACCGGUGGCGAAGGCGGUGAGCUGGGCAGUUGCUGACACUGAGG
RNAcentral lists this ribosomal RNA (230 nucleotides) under uncultured bacterium. RNAcentral describes it as "partial 16S ribosomal RNA". It matches the Rfam family "Bacterial small subunit ribosomal RNA", at positions 524 to 751 of the family's 1533-position model. The record is from RNAcentral.